Molecule: long non-coding RNA, 2536 nt
Organism: Gallus gallus (chicken)
Lineage: Eukaryota; Metazoa; Chordata; Aves; Galliformes; Phasianidae
Source: Ensembl
GGAAGACUGGCUGCGAGCCGCGGAGAACGGAUACGGCUCUCGCUCGCUGUUUGCGUGUCCCCCCUCCCCCCCCCCCUUCAUUUAUUUAUUUAUUUUUCUGUGAAUGGAGGGCAGGCGGUGACAGCUGCGCACGUACCGCGCCCUCUGCCCGGCCUGAAGACUGUGGAGUUCUUCCAAGAAUUUUUCAAUUUCCACAGAUGAAAAUAUAGUCUAAACCAGAUGCCAGCUGAAACGCACUCACUUCGUACCACCUCGCCAAGGCAGCGCGCCACGGGCUCAGCAAUGUGACCUUUAAAAUGGCCUUUCUAGAACACACUGCUAAGAGCACUUUCUAAAAAGCCACAAUUGCAGCUACUCUUAUUACUCAUAAUGUCUUUGAUGGAGAGGAAUACUCAGGGAACUUCAGCUUCAGCAACCCGGUAGAGUCAGUUCUGUGCAGCGGAGGCUUCCUUCGUGGCAUUACAGACUUGAGACCACGAUGAGAGCGUUGGUGAUAAUGAACAUUUCCUAAAGCAUUACUUGUAUAAGAUUAAAAUGAAAUAAAAGCAGUGAAACCUUUGCUUUGCCCAUGUGAAAGAAUGGCUCUGCCACUUAGCCAUUCGUUCCUAGAAGUGGAUAUGUAUACCUGUGCCUUCUCCAUGUAUUUGUAAGUCUAACAAAUAUUAUACACACAAAUAUACACCAAUGUUAUGCAAAAUGCAUUCAGGCAAUGUAUUUCAAAUCAAUGAAUAUUUUGAGUCAUCAGCCUAAAUGGUGUUUGUAGAUGCAUAAUUGCAUGCUACUUUCUGGGAUUUUUUGUAGUAUUCUGAGUGGCGCUGAGCCGCCACUUCAUUAAAACUGUCCCUUGGGAUCCAAUUCUUUGGGUUUGUUUUUGCAUGUGCCAGGAAAUUUGGACCCUGAUUUCUGUAUGGCCACCACUGCCAUGCUGGUGCACUGCCGGCCGGCGGCACUGUGUGGCACUGCAUGGCCCUGGUGGGCACAGGGAGCAGAAUAACAUGAGAUCCAGUUUGCUUUGGUCAGUCUGGGAGAGACUUCACAGCAGCAGUGAUGGGACACUUUAGAGUUGGCUGAGUGGAGUUUUCCUAUCAUUUCUGAACCUUCUGUCCUUAAACUGAUUCAACUAAAUAUGUGACAUUUUGAGGAAAACUUGCCCUGUGUCUUUAGCUUCUUUCAUACCAGACAGGGUGGGAACAAGAUAAGUUUGCUUAAAAGCCUUUGUUUUCACUCACUUCUCUACUUGCUUGGUGUCCCAACACACUGGUAUUCAGAUUUGUCACCUCACAGGGCCUUGGUUCUGCCAGAACUCCUGCCUCUGGCUACCAGCAGUGGGAUAUUGAAGGGUUUGAGCUGCUGUCAUCAAGCAGCAACAAACUUACUGCUUUAAUCAGCUCCUUUCCAUGCGAGAUACAACUUGCUGAGCUCCGUGGUUCCUAGAGGUAAUGCCUCAUUUCCAAAAACUCCUGUUUCUGACCAUUGCUGUGGUUUCCCUGGAGUGGGACAGCCAUCCUUGCUCAGUCCCUGCCCCAUCAUUGCCCUGCCCAGCAAUACAGGGCCAGAAGCCCCACUCCCACUUCUCCUUGCACAGCCUUUGGUGGCUCAUGGGACUGCGCUGGCACUGCUGCUCUGUGCCAUGUGGUGACAGGGCUGUUAUUCCAGAGCAACCGGAUGGGGACCACCAAUUUAGUUCUCACAGACCAUGGCUUCUGGCUCUUCGAGAGCAUUGUUUUGACACUGGCAGGAAAAAAUUAGGCCAUUGUCUUUGCUCCCAUGAAAUUUCCUGUCCUCUCUUUAUGAGGUGUGUGGCUGCACAAAGUGCCUUUCUGCUCCCGCAGCAGCGAAUCUUGACACCCACAGCUUGGGCUGGUGUCCCAGGGUGGGUUUUCUUUCCGGGUUGAUUUGGGAUUUUUGCCCACGGAAAAUGAAUGAAUGAACAAAUAAUUUGCAGCUGUCCGAAUGGCCGUAACAUCUCCGCGCUCUGCCCAGAGCUCUGGAAAUGGAUAUCAGAGCUGCUCAGGGCUUUGAUGCAGUCUCUGCACCUGGGCUAUGCUCUGGGUCUGGCAUAUCCCCGUGUGCUGUCACUGCCCUAACACAGUGCAGUCAAGGCUCUGGUAUCCUCUGUUCAAAUAACUCAUCUUCUGCAGUGUGCACACUAUGCAACUCAGCAUUCCCUGUUUGAUAAUGAAGGUCAAACCCAAAAGCAACUGGUCAAUUUUGGUCUCAUCCUUUUUAUUCCUAACAAAGAAGCAGCAGUACCUGCAGGCCCAGAGCGUGGUGUAAGCUGGUGUGAUGCUCUCCUUUGCUGUGUGUAAGGACUGCUGAUGCCAGCAGGUAUCUGGUGCAGAUGAGUGCAUUCACAUGGAAGCCCAUGUGCAGCUCUGCUGUGCCGGGUAAUUGUGGGUCACUUGGUUGGCUCUGUAAGGUCUCACCAUGUAGGAAUAAGCACUCAAAGGAGCGGACAUUUGCCUGCUUUCCAUACUACAGGCAUCAUUAAGGGCUUUGUUUUCUUUUUUAUCAGGCUCUGUAUAGAAUUUUCAAU